AUCCAGACGACGAGUCCCAAACAUGACGAAACGCACGUCAAACUGGAU
Molecule: non-coding RNA, 48 nt
Filed under: Schistosoma margrebowiei
Lineage: Eukaryota; Metazoa; Platyhelminthes; Trematoda; Strigeidida; Schistosomatidae
Source: RNAcentral